Mugil cephalus (flathead mullet) is the source of this 995-nucleotide long non-coding RNA. RefSeq lists it as uncharacterized. The transcript has 4 exons. The record is from RefSeq and is a predicted model, not a curated record. NCBI's taxonomy places the organism in Eukaryota, Metazoa, Chordata, Actinopteri, Mugiliformes, Mugilidae.
UUCAAAAUACGACACAAGACACGGAUUGUCAAUGCCCGAACGUGUUUCCGGUUUGGUCGCGGUGCAGGUGUGGUGGCUUGACGCGGGGGUUUGCUGUCGUCAGCCUGCAGCAUCAGAAGAAGAAUAACAGGCUAAAAACAGACUAAUUCAUCCCGGCUGCUGCGCUUGUCUUGGAAGAUGGUGGCUAAACAGAGGAUCCGCAUGGCCAACGAGAAACACAGCAAGAACAUCACUCAGAGAGGAAACGUGGCCAAGACGCUGCGUGGUUUACAUCAUCACUGAAUCACUGACAGGAGAAGCUUCCCCCACAACAGCAGACAAACAUGUAGCAUGUCCAAACAGAUGAUAUCAUCGCGACGAUGACAGUCCAUCCACUGAUGAGCCACAGUGUGAUAAACUGCUAACCCUGCACGUUUCAGCGACCGCAGGAGGAGAAGUAUCCCGUGGGUCCCUGGCUGCUCGCCCUCUUUGUAUUUGUUGUGUGUGGAUCAGCCAUAUUUCAGAUAAUCCAGAGCAUUCGUAUGGGGAUGUGAUACAGAAGGUCAUUCUCUGUCCCCCUCUUCAUGCCUUCACUGAACCCGCCGCCUGCGCACACGCUACCCCACCCCCUCUCUCCAGAGGCCCAGAAACGGAUGCCAGACCUUGGAGACAGAAGCUUCCCCCGACCGACCGACCGACCGGCCGACCGCACCACCCACCCCUCCCUUCAGACAUCACCCUGCCCUCAGUCAGCGUUUACAGUGUUGCAGUCUGUGGUACUGACAGCUUUUCUAUGGACAGUCUAAAACCACGCCGGCUGGAGAACAUGUGUGUCUCAUUAUUUUCACUUGGCACCUGUGCGUACAUGUGUAGUGUGUAUGUGUGUGUGUGUAUGUGAGGGCGUAAGACCGAGCGGCCAGUGACUCCUGCUAACAAUGUGCCAUACCUGUCUAUUUUCACUGUUUGUCUGUGCUGUGUGAGAGGAAGGUUUUUUUCAAAUAAAUGUUGAGCAUUCA